ACUCAAAGGAAUAGACGGGGGCCCGCACAAGCGGUGGAACAUGUGGCUUAAUUCGAUGCAACGCGAAGAACCUUACCUAGGCUUGACAUAUAUUGGGCGAUCUGCGAAAGCAGAUUUCUCUUCGGAGCCGAUAUACAGGUGCUGCAUGGCUGUCGUCAGCUCGUGUCGUGAGAUGUUCGGUUAAGUCCGGCAACGAGCGCAACCCUCGCCCUUAGUUGCCAGCGGGUAAAGCCGGGGACUUUAAGGGGACAAACUUUUAAAGUGGGAAGGUGGGGAUGAUGUCAAGUCAGCAUGGCCCUUACGUCUAGGGCUGCACACGUGUUACAAUGCCCGGUACAAUGAGAAGCAAGGCCGCAAGGCGGAGCAAAUCUAUAAAGCCGGGCCCAGUUCAGAUUGAAGUCUGCAACUCGACUUCAUGAAGCCGGAAUCGCUAGUAAUGGCGUAUCAGCUAUGACGCCGUGAAUACGUUCUCGGGCCUUGUACACACCGCCCGU
Molecule: ribosomal RNA, 494 nt
Filed under: uncultured bacterium
Lineage: Bacteria
Description: bacterial SSU rRNA
Rfam family: Bacterial small subunit ribosomal RNA
Source: RNAcentral